CUAUCUCAAGUUUGUAUGAAAUUGGGAAGUUGCCUACGUUUGCCGCUAGGGGCGCUGUUCCAAAUCCAUACAAAUUCAAGUUA
This 83-nucleotide microRNA precursor is filed under the name Bombyx mori (domestic silkworm). RNAcentral's name for it is "mir-2807 microRNA precursor family". It matches the Rfam family "mir-2807 microRNA precursor family". The record is from Rfam by way of RNAcentral. Lineage: Eukaryota; Metazoa; Arthropoda; Insecta; Lepidoptera; Bombycidae.